GAUGAACGCUGGCGGCGUGCCUAAUACAUGCAAGUCGAGCGAACAGACGAGGAGCUUGCUCCUUUGACGUUAGCGGCGGACGGGUGAGUAACACGUAGGUAACCUACCUAUAAGACUGGGAUAACUUCGGGAAACCGGAGCUAAUACCGGAUAAUAUUUCGAACCGCAUGGUUCGAUAGUGAAAGAUGGCUUUGCUAUCACUUAUAGAUGGACCUGCGCCGUAUUAGCUAGUUGGUAAGGUAACGGCUUACCAAGGCAACGAUACGUAGCCGACCUGAGAGGGUGAUCGGCCACACUGGAACCGAGACACGGUCCAGACUCCUACGGGAGGCAGCAGUAGGGAAUCUUCCGCAAUGGGCGAAAGCCUGACGGAGCAACGCCGCGUGAGUGAUGAAGGUCUUCGGAUCGUAAAACUCUGUUAUUAGGGAAGAACAAACGUGUAAGUAACUGUGCACGUCUUGACGGUACCUAAUCAGAAAGCCACGGCUAACUACGUG
RNAcentral lists this ribosomal RNA (497 nucleotides) under uncultured bacterium. RNAcentral describes it as "partial 16S ribosomal RNA". It matches the Rfam family "Bacterial small subunit ribosomal RNA", at positions 28 to 507 of the family's 1533-position model. The record is from RNAcentral.